GGCGAGUGAACAGGGAAAAGCCCAAAUUUGUAAUCUGGCACUUUUUACAAGUGUCCGAGUUGUAAUUUGUAGAGCUGUUAUCCGUACUGGACCAUGUACAAGUCUGUUGAAAAGCAGCAUCAUUGAAGGUGAAAAUCCUGUAGAUGAUAUGGACUACCAGUAUAUUUGUGAUACGGUUUCUAAGAGUCGAGUUGUUUGGGAAUGCAGCUCAAAGUGGGUGGUAAAUUCCAUCUAAGGCUAAAUAUAAGUGAGAGACCGAUAGCAAACAAGUACCGUGAGGGAAAGAUGAAAAGAACUUUGAAAAUAGAGUUAACAGUACGUGAAAUUGCUGAAAGGGAAACGUUUGAAGUUAGUUUUGUAUUCGUUGGAUCAGCUUCGCAAGGAGUGUAUUCUGAUGAUAAGCAAGUCAACAUCAGUCUAUGAGUAUUGGAUAAGGGUUUUGAGAAUGUAGCAAUUUAAUUGUGUUAUAGCUUGAGACUUGGAUACGAUGCUUUGGAUUGAGGAACGCGUAGUAAGCUUUGAGCGGAUUCGAAAGGAUCUCCUUACUAUGGAUGUUGGUGAAAUAACUUU
Molecule: ribosomal RNA, 570 nt
Filed under: Melampsora sp. TSH-R10727
Lineage: Eukaryota; Fungi; Basidiomycota; Pucciniomycetes; Pucciniales; Melampsoraceae
Also listed under: 2 other names
Description: eukaryotic LSU rRNA
Rfam family: Eukaryotic large subunit ribosomal RNA
Source: RNAcentral